This is a long non-coding RNA of Cucumis sativus (cucumber), 885 nucleotides long. RefSeq lists it as uncharacterized. Lineage: Eukaryota; Viridiplantae; Streptophyta; Magnoliopsida; Cucurbitales; Cucurbitaceae. The record is from RefSeq and is a predicted model, not a curated record. The transcript is spliced from 2 exons.
UCUUUACAGCGGGGUAGGAAUUUACACUUGCAUGUUGAGAAAAUAAAGUAUAGAAAAAAAAGGGAAAAGAAUUACUUUACCUUUUUCUUCUUUCUUCCUCUUCGUUUUCUGUCUUUUGCUUUCCAAACAACCCUAAUGAAAUUCUUCCUUUCGGUUUUUUAUUUGAGUAUAUUGUGCUCACACCAAAAUGAUGAUUAAGGAGAAGAAGAAGGAUGCAACAAGGAUUUAUUUACGUGGUUCGGCCAAAAUAAAGCCUACGUCCAGGCGGAAGGAUCUCAGUUUUAUUAUUCAAGAUGAGUACAUAAGAACUCUCCUUUUUCUUAUUUACAGGAUGGAUAGAAAAGAAGAAACUAGUGAAGCAAAGCAGAUAUCUCGUGCAAGAACUAUACGAUACGAACUCAUUUGACGAUUAACAUCUCUAGACGAGAAACCAUGUCAUCACGCGAGGAAGGUUCAUUAGAAGACAAAGUGUGGGAGUUGGAGAUGAUGUGACUCGCAACAGACACCUUUUGACAGAUAGCGCUGACAAUCUCUGAAGAAUAGAAGUUUUCCACCGAAAGCUGCCUAUAAAAUCACUUCAUCCCCACCAUGAGAAGAAGGUCUGAAUAGACCAAAAAUGGGGCUUGCAUGGGCCAAAAGCUAGAGUGUUGGUGGAAAGGAUUAGCUUUACCACCGUUUAUAUAGCACUCCAUCUUCACUGACCAGAUUGUAAUGCGAAAGCUUAGAGUUUCAGAGGAGAAAAGUCCAUCCCCCGUUUCCCCUAACUUGUAUUUCAUUUCUUCCUUUUUCCAUUUUACUAUUUCUUUACAUUAUAUGCAGUUAUAUUGUACAUUGGUCAAAGACCUUCAUUCUUUAAUACAAUGUAUCUUUAUACACGUUUCAAUC